AGAGGAAUGGGUGGAUGGCAUUUCAGAAUUGGCAUAAACUUAGUUCUUUUAAUUUAUACCUACUAUACCAAUUAGCAUACAUUUAAAUUUUUUUCUUUUUCUUUUGAAAAUUAAUUUUUCUUUGAAAUUAUUUUAAAUUAAUAUAAGCCCCUAAUGCAUUAAAGGGAUCUAGGCAUUGAGUCUCAAUGGCUGCUAACAUCACAGGAGACAACCAGUCAAUACUUCUAAUGGAAGAACAAACCCCACCUUUGUAUGAGUCUUGCCCAAAAAACUGAAUCUGAACCUGAUUAAGCUUCUAGAUUCAACAACCAGUAAACAGAAUUACAACACACACAGAGGAUGGAAGAAUGUGUUAAACGACACCACAGGGAUGCACUACGAGACUAUGUUCCUUUUCCAUGGCCUCAUCUUUACCUUGUGCAGGUUUCCUGGAUUCCUUGUUUUUCCCUCAGGGCUUUUCUACCCUAAUUAGGGCAUUCCCAAAGCAGAUUCUCCGCUGUUUAGUGAGAAAUCCUCUGGGAUUCAGCCUGCAGGCGAGAACCUCAGAUGCUGUUUGACUUCUGGAUAUGAUUACAAGGGAAAGACACCAACUGGCCCAACUAUGUUAACCCUUUAAUUAACCCCACAGAAAUCGGCCCUGCGCCACUUUUACCCUUCUGCUCACAGGCUCUGAGUUUGGAACCCAGAGUCUCUGUGGUUCUCCACUGGAAGAAAGGCUCUCGUCUUUGCCGCAGCUCUCACCCGGGCUGGCAGUUUUCUCUGUUCCCUCAAACAUCUUUCUUUCUUCCAGAAAUCUCUCAAAAUUUCUGGUUAGUCCUUGGCAUCCUUUCUUCCUUCAUUGUUUUCUAGUAUUGUAAUAAUUUUUUAGACAUCUUUACAAUUUAUUCAAUGGGAAGGAAAAGUGCUAAGUCAUAUGGCCAGUCCACCAUCUUGAAUCAGAAAGCCUAAGUAAUAUUUUUUUUUAAAUCUCACUUAGUAGAUACAUACCAAACAAGUAGAUGCACCUUCAGACUUACCUUGUAACCUACUUUUGAAAGACAUCACAGCUGAGCUUUAUUAAAUAAAAUUAAGAAACUUUA
Galeopterus variegatus (Sunda flying lemur) is the source of this 1079-nucleotide long non-coding RNA. RefSeq lists it as uncharacterized. Lineage: Eukaryota; Metazoa; Chordata; Mammalia; Dermoptera; Cynocephalidae. The transcript has 2 exons. The record is from RefSeq and is a predicted model, not a curated record.